GAUGAACGCUGGCGGCGUGCCUAAUACAUGCAAGUCGAGCGGAAAGGCCCUUCGGGGUACUCGAGCGGCGGACGGCUGAGUAACGCGUAGGAACGUACCCCAAAGUGAGGGAUAGCUGCUCGAAAGAGUAGCUAAUACCGCAUGUGCUCUUCGGAGUAAAGCUUCGGCGCUUUGGGAACGGCCUGCGUCCUAUUAGCUAGUUGGUGAGGUAAUUGCUCACCAAGGCGACGAUAGGUAGCUGGUCUGAGAGGAUGAUCAGCCAGACUGGGACUGAGACACGGCCCAGACUCCUACGGGAGGCAGCAGUAGGGAAUUUUCCACAAUGGGCGAAAGCCUGAUGGAGCAACGCCGCGUGCAGGAUGAAUGCCUUCGGGUUGUAAACUGCUUUUAUAGGUGAAGAAUAUGACGGUAACCUAUGAAUAAGGAUCGGCUAACUCCGUGCCAGCAGCAGCCGCAG
This 457-nucleotide ribosomal RNA is filed under the name uncultured bacterium. RNAcentral describes it as "partial 16S ribosomal RNA". It matches the Rfam family "Bacterial small subunit ribosomal RNA", at positions 28 to 523 of the family's 1533-position model. The record is from RNAcentral.